Pelodiscus sinensis (Chinese soft-shelled turtle) is the source of this 215-nucleotide non-coding RNA. Lineage: Eukaryota; Metazoa; Chordata; Testudines; Trionychidae. The record is from RefSeq and is a predicted model, not a curated record.
GGAGGAGUCGAUCGCCACCUAUCCGCCCAGCGGGCCUCACCCCUUGGUGCUGGAUGUGGGCGCCUGGGGAAUCGACCUGGCGCGCUGCCUGAAUCUCACCCUGCUUGUGUUCGACACAACGGGGAAGGAGAGGAGGCUGCACUACCGAGCUGUAGCCAGUCCCGGGAGCCUCCCGGCCAGGACGAAAGGCACCGGGCAGCGCUCUGACCGCAGCG